UAUAUAUUGUGUGCAUGUGCACUUUGUCAACAACAAUACAUACAUGAUUGAAUGUUUUUAUUUUCAUUUUUUUUCCAGGUGGAGUGGUUUCAGUCCCAUACUGUUGUUUAUUCCAGGUGGAGUGGUUUCAGUCCCAUAAUGUUGUUUAUUCCAGGUGGAGUGGUUUCAGUCCCAUAAUGUUGUUUAUUCCAGACAGGAGUCUGUUAUCAGGACACCCAGCUGUCUUGACCAAUGACAGAAUACUUGAGAUAGACAAGAUGGUGGCGUACAUUUUUUUGGAUUACUUCAUGGAGCAAAAAUAACAGAGCAUUUUCUAAAUUCAAACUGACCCCCUGCAACUGGACAAUGACAUUUUAUGAGAUUCCUGUUUCCUCUAAUCGAGGAUGACGACGGUAUCGGCAAGUUUUGGUCGA
This is a long non-coding RNA of Oncorhynchus tshawytscha (Chinook salmon), 413 nucleotides long. The record is from Ensembl. Lineage: Eukaryota; Metazoa; Chordata; Actinopteri; Salmoniformes; Salmonidae.